Molecule: ribosomal RNA, 441 nt
Filed under: uncultured bacterium
Lineage: Bacteria
Description: partial 16S ribosomal RNA
Rfam family: Bacterial small subunit ribosomal RNA
Source: RNAcentral
CCUACGGGUGGCAGCAGUCGGGAAUAUUGCGCAAUGGAGGAAACUCUGACGCAGUGACGCCGCGUAUAGGAAGAAGUUUUUAGGAAUGUAAACUAUUGUCGUUAGGGAAGAGAAAGGCAAGUACCUUAGGAGGAAGCUCCGGCUAACUACGUGCCAGCAGCCGCGGUACUACGUAGGGAGCGAGCGUUUUCCGGAAUUCUUGGGUGUAAAGGGUGCGUAGACGGGAAAACAAGUGAGUUGUGAAAUUCCUCGGCUUAACUGAGGAACUGCAACUAAAACUAUUUUUCUUGAGUGCAGGUGAGGUAAGUGGAAUUCCUAGUGUAGCGGUGAAAUGCGUAGAUAGUAGGAGGAACACCAGUGGCGAAGGCGAGUGACUGGACUGUAACUGACGUUGAGGCACGAAAGUGUGGGGAGCAAACAGGAUUAGAUACCCUAGUAGUC